Molecule: ribosomal RNA, 497 nt
Filed under: uncultured bacterium
Lineage: Bacteria
Description: partial 16S ribosomal RNA
Rfam family: Bacterial small subunit ribosomal RNA
Source: RNAcentral
GAUGAACGCUGGCGGCGUGCCUAAUACAUGCAAGUCGAGCGAACGGACGAGAAGCUUGCUUCUCUGAUGUUAGCGGCGGACGGGUGAGUAACACGUGGAUAACCUACCUAUAAGACUGGGAUAACUUCGGGAAACCGGAUCUAAUACCGGAUAAUAUUUUGAACCGCAUGGUUCAAAAGUGAAAGACGGUCUUGCUGUCACUUAUAGAUGGAUCCGCGCUGCAUUAGCUAGUUGGUAAGGUAACGGCUUACCAAGGCAACGAUGCAUAGCCGACCUGAGAGGGUGAUCGGCCACACUGGAACUGAGACACGGUCCAGACGCCCACGGGAGGCAGCAGUAGGGAAUCUUCCGCAAUGGGCGAAAGCCUGACGGAGCAGCGCCGCGUGAGUGAUGAAGGUCUUCGGAUCGUAAAACUCUGUUAUUAGGGAAGAACAUAUGUGUAAGUAACUGUGCACAUCUUGACGGUACCUAAUCAGAAAGCCACGGCUAACUACGUG